CCUACGGGUGGCAGCAGUGAGGAAUAUUGGUCAAUGGACGAGAGUCUGAACCAGCAAAGUAGCGUGAAGGAUGACUGCCCUAUGGGUUGUAAACUUCUUUUAUAUGGGAAUAAAACAGGGUAUGCAUACCCUCUUGUAUGUACCAUAUGAAUAAGGAUCGGAUAACUCCGUGCCAGCAGCCGCGGUAAUACGGAGGAGCCGAGCGUUAUCCGGAUUGAGUGGGUUUAAAGGGAGCGUAGGUGGAUUGUGCAGUCAGUUGUGAAAGUUUGCGGCUAAACCGUAAAAUUGAAGUUGAAACUGGCAGUCUUGCUUCCAGUAGAGGUCGCCGGCAUUCGUGGUGUAGCGGUGACCUGCUUAGAUUUCACGCAGAACUCCGAUUGCGAAGGCAGCUCACUGGACUGCACCUGCCACUGCUUCUCGAACGUGUGGGUAUCACACAGGAUUAGCUCCCCUUGUCGUC
This 460-nucleotide ribosomal RNA is filed under the name uncultured bacterium. RNAcentral describes it as "partial 16S ribosomal RNA". It matches the Rfam family "Bacterial small subunit ribosomal RNA", at positions 338 to 795 of the family's 1533-position model. The record is from RNAcentral.